This 465-nucleotide ribosomal RNA is filed under the name Vreelandella stevensii. Its description in RNAcentral is "partial 16S ribosomal RNA". It matches the Rfam family "Bacterial small subunit ribosomal RNA", at positions 338 to 795 of the family's 1533-position model. Lineage: Bacteria; Pseudomonadati; Pseudomonadota; Gammaproteobacteria; Oceanospirillales; Halomonadaceae. The record is from RNAcentral.
CCUACGGGUGGCUGCAGUGGGGAAUAUUGGACAAUGGGCGAAAGCCUGAUCCAGCCAUGCCGCGUGUGUGAAGAAGGCCUUCGGGUUGUAAAGCACUUUCAGUGGGGAAGAAAGCCUUGGGGCUAAUACCCUCGAGGAAGGACAUCACCCACAGAAGAAGCACCGGCUAACUCCGUGCCAGCAGCCGCGGUAAUACGGAGGGUGCGAGCGUUAAUCGGAAUUACUGGGCGUAAAGCGCGCGUAGGCGGUCUGAUAAGCCGGUUGUGAAAGCCCCGGGCUCAACCUGGGAACGGCAUCCGGAACUGUCAGGCUAGAGUGCAGGAGAGGAAGGUAGAAUUCCCGGUGUAGUGGUGAAAUGCGUAGAGAUCGGGAGGAAUACCAGUGGCGAAGGCGGCCUUCUGGACUGACACUGACGCUGAGGUGCGAAAGCGUGGGUAGCAAACAGGAUUAGUUACCCCUGUAGUC